CUUGGUGAUUUAACGCGAUGGCAACACCUCUUCCCAUUCCGAACAGAGCAGUUAAGCAUCGUAGUGGCGAUGGUACCCGCGCUUGCGCGGGGAGAGUAGCUAGUCGCCAAGA
This 112-nucleotide ribosomal RNA is filed under the name Candidatus Taylorbacteria bacterium RIFCSPHIGHO2_02_FULL_46_13. The record is from RNAcentral. Lineage: Bacteria; Candidatus Tayloriibacteriota.